UACGUUCCCGGGCCUUGUACACACCGCCCGUCAAGCCAUGGAAGCUGGGGGUGCCUGAAGUCGGUGACCGCAAGGAGCUGCCUAGGGUAAAACUAGUAACUAGGGCG
Molecule: ribosomal RNA, 107 nt
Filed under: uncultured bacterium
Lineage: Bacteria
Description: partial 16S ribosomal RNA
Rfam family: Bacterial small subunit ribosomal RNA
Source: RNAcentral